AAUGAACGCUGGCGGCGUGCUUAACACAUGCAAGUCGAACGAGGCGGAGGGGGGGCAACUCCUUCCAGCCGAGUGGCGGACGGGUGAGUAACACGUGGGUAACCUGCCCGGAAGUGGGGAAUACCUCGGGGAAACUCGAGCUAAUACCGCAUGACAUCUUCGGGACGAAAGUCCUGACGAUCAAGGCGGGGUCGCAAGAUCUCGCGCUACCGGAUGGGCCCGCGCCCGAUUAGCUAGUUGGUGAGGUAACGGCUCACCAAGGCUUCGAUCGGUAACCGGCCUGAGAGGGCGAUCGGUCACACCGGAACUGAGACACGGUCCGGACUCCUACGGGAGGCAGCAGUGGGGAAUCUUGCGCAAUGGGCGAAAGCCUGACGCAGCAACGCCGCGUGGAGGAUGAAGGCCC
RNAcentral lists this ribosomal RNA (406 nucleotides) under uncultured bacterium. Its description in RNAcentral is "bacterial SSU rRNA". It matches the Rfam family "Bacterial small subunit ribosomal RNA", at positions 28 to 417 of the family's 1533-position model. The record is from RNAcentral.